Fundulus heteroclitus (mummichog) is the source of this 1711-nucleotide long non-coding RNA. RefSeq lists it as uncharacterized. The record is from RefSeq and is a predicted model, not a curated record. The transcript has 4 exons. Lineage: Eukaryota; Metazoa; Chordata; Actinopteri; Cyprinodontiformes; Fundulidae.
GGAGAGGGGCAGCCGGCAGGGAGGCUGGAGGGAAGGCAGGGAGAGAGGGAGAGCUGAGGCUGGGCUAGGAACUCCAAGAAUGGGGCGGUGAGGAGGAGGAAAGGCCUGAGCCGGCUGAAGAGAGGAAGUGGGAAGGUGUGAGGGCGGGUUCGGACCCUAAUUAGGAGAGAAAGGUAAGAAAGAUGGAGGACAUGGACAAUAACUGUGGACAUAGGGAGAAGAUCAAAUCUAGGCUAAAAAGAAACAACAGGACUGACCCUUCUGGUUAAAGAAGACUUUAGGAUCUGGGACCUGGGUCAAAGCUCAGGCUGAAAAAAGGCAACGAGCUUCAGUCAAAACCAAGACGAAUGCAGAAAAAAAACCCAGAAACGUUGAACCUCCAUCACUCUGAGGCGUACUUUCUUCUCUCUGCUUUGGAUGUAACGCUGGCAUGGACCGCAGUGGGCGUCCAAUCAGAUAACAGGACCUCUGCGCCUGUCAUAAUGACAGCCAUGACAUCACGGCAAGGGCUUGCGGAGAGAAGACGAGCGGAGCUGCAGACAGGGAGAGCGGGGCUGCGCGGCACUGCGGCGCCCGAGCCAGAGCGCACCGGCGGCCGGGUCCGAACCGCGCCGACUCCCGGGAGCUGUGCAGGGUGGCGGCGACACGGGGAUGGGGGGGCGCAGGGCGAGGGACCGGCGCACCGGAGCACCGCCGCCACCGACGCCGCCGGCGACGGACUCGCCGGGGCCGCGUCUUUGGCUGAAGAGACGGAGGAAGUUGGUUCGAAACCGCGUCUGGUUUAAUUUCUGCCAAUCAAGAGGAGAGGAUGAAAACUCCAGAAAGUGGCAUUAUGCAAUUCGAGAUUAAAGACACACCCAAGAGACGGAGGCAGCGACUGAACCAGAUGGCAGAAACUGGGACCUGGUGAUGCUGACGGGGAACAUCAUCCUGACUCAAGAAAUGAAGAAGAUGCUGACAUUUCACACUGCCACGCAGGCGCAAUAAUCAAUGAAAGUCUGCUGUUGGGAGGGAAGACCGAUUCCAGAUGAAGAAAACUAGAUCAAAAGACAUGGAGGGGAACCGGAACGGAGAGAAAAAAAGGGACGAUUCGUCUCUUAAAGAAACAGAAACAAUCUGGAUGAAGACAUGUUGAUUUGAAAAGUCUGCCUUACUAGGGUUCCUUCAUGUAAUUGAGGAUUUGGUUCACUAAUUAAUGCCAGUAUUCUGUUACUGUUUAAGAAUGGUGCCUCAUUAUAUGACCUUUCUUUUAUGUGCACAGUUAAUAUUUAUCAAACAUUCUAUACAUUUUAAUACUUUUAAGAUAUAUUUGAGCUUUCCACUGUUUAAAGGAUUGUUAACGAUGCAGCUGUGUACCUACAUCAGGAAACAAGCAGCCACCUGGUAACAUUUGAGCAUUAAGCUCCUUGUAAAAUUGGGAAAAGUAAAACCUUUUAGAAUAAUAGAUUUUCUAGUUUUGAUCGUAGGGAUGCAACAAUAAAUUCAGCUCAUGGUGUAUGUAGUUCACAAAGUAAGAUUUUAGCUAAAAAAAUGUGGAAGAUGAAGCAUUUUAUAUCCUUUUCAUUAAUGAGGUAAAGGUUUCACAAAUCACAAGCUGUGUGUUAAAUAAUCUGACCAGCGCAGGAUGUUCCAGUCAAAGUUUGACUGAUUUGCUGUUGAGUUAACAAUCUACCUUUGUAAUUUGUUUUCACAUCACCAACCAGCAAAAAAA